RNAcentral lists this unclassified non-coding RNA (238 nucleotides) under uncultured Ascomycota. RNAcentral describes it as "sequence contains 5.8S rRNA gene, ITS2, 28S rRNA gene". The record is from RNAcentral. Lineage: Eukaryota; Fungi; Ascomycota.
AACGCACAUUGCGCCCUAUAGUAUUCUGUAGGGCAUGCCUGUUCGAGCGUCAUUUCUCAUCUCAAGCUCUGCUUGGUACUGGGCAGUGUCCGUGAAGGACUUGCCUCAAAACUAUUGGCGGCUGGUGUUGAGGCCGAAUGAAUGCAGUACAUGCAAUCGUCUACCUCAGUGACUCCCUCCACAAGCUUCUAUCACACAGAUUGACCUCGGAUCAGGUAGGGAUACCCGCUGAACUUAA